GCCUCACCUGCAAAAGGACUGUGGUUCAAAUCCCGGUGCCACGCCAUUUUCCACUGGAUAAAAAAAAAUCCACAUGUUGAUACAGCUGUAUAAACAGGCCUGGUGGCCUGACCCUGGUGAUCAGAACCGGUAAUGCACCCCCUCACCAGAGCAGGAUUGGCCACCUUGGUGCAGUACUUGGCCACCACCUUCUAUAUGAAUAGAACAAUCAAACCCCAGCCCUCAGUCCCCAGCAGCUACAAAGCAACUGACCAUUGCGGCGGUCAGACCUGUGACGCAGCAGAGGGUGCUAAGAACCUCUGGAUCCAGACAGGCCGCCAUUGGAAUCUGAACCUGGCAAUGUUUAACGCUAGAACGUUUUCUAGUGAGGAGAGUCUAACUGUGCUAUUAGAGGAAUUAGUGGGCAUUAAAUGGGAUAUAAUAGAGCUCAGUGAGGUUGGGAGGACAGAUGAAGCAUAUACAGUGCUAAAAAGCGUGCACAUCCUGUGCCACCAGGGCUUAGCGGAGAGACGAGAACUAGGAGUCGGAUUCCUGUUUAAUAAGGAUAUAGUAACUGGUAACAUACAGGAAUUGUAUAGCAUUAAAGAGAGGGUGGCAGGUCUUGUUGUGAAACUUAAUAAGAGGUACAAAUUGAAGGUCGUACAGGUCUACGCCCCUACAUCUAGUCAUGAUAACCAGGAAGUCGAAAGCUUCUAUGAAGAUGUGGAAUUGGUGAUAGGUAAAGUCAAAACAAAAUACACUAUACUGAUGGACGACUUCAAUGCCAGGGUAGGCAAGAAGCAGGUUGGAGAAAAGUCAGUGUGGGGAAUAUGGCAAAGGUUCUAGCAAUAGUAGGGGAGAGUUAUUAGUAGAGUUUGCAGAACGGAAUAAUUUGCGGACAAUGAAUACCUUCUUCCGCAAGCGGGAUAACCGAAAGUGGACAUGGAGGAGCCCUAAUGGCGAGACUAGACAUGGAAUAGACCUCAUACCUUGUGCUAACCCUGGCAUCAUACAAGAUGUGUACGUGCUCGGCAAGGUGCGCUGCAGUGGCCAUAGGAUGGCAAGAUCUCGAAUUAGCCUAGACUUGAGGAGGGAAUAGAAAAAACUGGUACAUUAGAAGCCAAUCAAUGAGUUAGCAGUAAGAGGGAAAAUAGAGGAAUUUCGGAUCAAGCUACAGAAGAGGUAUGCGGCUUUAACUCGGGAAGAGAACCUUAGUGUUGAAGCACUGAACGAAAAUCUCAUGGGCAUUAUUAAGGAGUGUGCAAUAGAAGUUAGUUGUAACUUCGUUAGACAGGAUACCAGUAAGCUAUCGCAGGAGACAAAAGAUCUAAUUUUAAUACCAACCCUUAUACAUAGCUUUCAUUGAUUACAAGAAAGUGUUUGAUUCAGUCAAAACCUUAGCAGUCAUGCAGGCAUUAUGGAAUUGAGGUAUAGACGAGCCAUGUGUACAAAUACUGAAAGAUAUCUACAGCGGCUCUACAGCCACCGUAGUCCUUCAUAAAGAAAGCAACAAAAUCCCAAUAAAGAAGGGCGUCAGGUAGGAAGAUACAAACUCCACAAUGCUAUUCACAGCAUGUUUACAGGAGGUAUUCAGAGACCUGGAUUGGGAAGCAUUGGGGAUAAGAGUUAAUGGAGAAUACCUUAGUAACUUGCGAUUCGCUGAUGAUAUUGCCUAGCUUAGUAACUCAGGGGACCAAUUGCAAUGCAUGCUCACUGACCCGGAGAGGCAAAGCAUAAUUGUAGAUCUGAAAAUGAAUCUGCAGAAAACUAAAGUAAUUUUUAACAGUCUCAGAAGAGAACAGCAGUUUACGAUAGGUAGCGAGGCACUGGAGUGGUAAGGGAAUACAUCUACUCAGGGCAGGCAGUGACCGCGGAUCCAGAUCAUGAGACCGAAAUGAUCAGAAGAAUAAGAAUGGGCUGGGGUGCGUUUGGCAGACAUUCUCAGAUCAUAAACACCAGGUUGCCAUUAUCCCUCAAGAGAAAAGUGUAUAACUGGUGUGUCUUUCCAGUACUCACAUACGGGGCAGAAACCUGGAGGCUUACAAAAAGGGUUCUACUUAAACUGAGGACGACACAUCGAGCUAUGGAAAGAAGAAUGAUGGGUGUAACGUUAAGGGGAUAAGAUGAGAGCAGAUUGGGUGAGGGAACAAAUGCGAGUUAAUGAUAUCUUACUUGAAAUCCAGAAAAAUGGCCAUGGGCAGGGCAUGUAAUGAGGAGGGAAGAUAACCGAUGGUCCUUAAGGGUUAUGGACUGGAUUCCAAGAGAGGGGAAGUGUAGUAGGGGGCAGCAGAAAGUUAGGUGGGUGGAUGAGAUUAAGAAGUUUGCAGGGACAGCAUGGCCACAAUUGGCGCAUGACCGGGGUAGUUGCUGUUUAUUCAAGCAUUUUGCAAAUGCGGCUCACUUUUAAGCACCCCUUCUUAUGUUUAAAAAAAAAACAGAAAUGAACAUCCAGUAUUCUUUUUUAACUUUCACUAAGCUUAUCAUAUGGCUCAGUGUAAACAUACAGGUUAACAUACAGUAUUUACAGGUGAGGUUACAGAAAGCAGUAAUAAUUGACAGUAAACACUGCUUGGAUGGUGAAAAACAUGGGAGUCAGGUCAUCUUAUUUUUGACAACGUUUUUUGGCAUAGGAGGCUAAGCAAAUGGUGAUGUAGCAACACUGUAAAGACUGAAUAAAAUGGAUGUGGAAUGCCUUGAUGACUUCUCUUUGUUUUUGAUUUUGCCUUCGAAAGGAAUUUAUUCUGUUCCAGAUAAGGGAGGCAGCUUUUGCCUCUGCAACAGAACAUCGGUGGAUGUUGUGUGAAGCACUUCUUCCAUGCUUUUUCACUACCUGAUCAAGCCAAUGUCGUCUUCUCCACAAUCCACUGCGGAUGCCAAAUCUCUCUGGGGAAUGUGCCAUUUCGAGUUGUGAAGGAAACAGUCAGUCUGCAAGUUCGGAAUGGAAUACUACGAGAAGACUCAGGGAGAAAAAGACCAUGAUUUAAGCACCACUGACCACUGACUGGCCGAAGGAGGUGUACGAGAAAAAGUGAAUGAACCUCCAAGGCGCAAAAAAGAGGGUUCAUUAGACUUUUCCCCUUUCUGUGGAACGGCUAUGUAGUACGCACCCUACUAACGACUGAUGCACCAUACAUCAGGUCGCAUGUUUUGGUUACAUGAUGGGCAAAAACUAGACAGCUCAACAUUGACUGUUUCGAGUUCCACGAUACUAAAGUACAUGUUGAGACUAAUUGAAAAAUACUAGCUGAUAAAUGCUAAGUUUAGACGAUUGCCUAUUUUCUUGUGCAUUCCUGUUCCUUAUGCAACCCCUUUUGAUAUCCCCAUUCCCAUAGGGUGCCAUUGAAAAAUGUUUUAUGUCUGGAUAAUUAAACAGCUUCCUCAAGUCACUAGUAUCAGUAUGUAUACCUAAAACAUUUCGCUGAAAGGGUAGUUCUCAUAAUUGCCCUCGAAAAUGGCCACUUUGCCCAGCCUCCAAUACCAGUCACCACUGUUGAAGUACUCUUGGCGAAAUUGCUGUGUAGGUAACCAUACUUCACAUUUUCAAAAUAAACUCUUGGUGCACAUUA
Long non-coding RNA from Dermacentor andersoni, 3545 nucleotides. RefSeq lists it as uncharacterized. NCBI's taxonomy places the organism in Eukaryota, Metazoa, Arthropoda, Arachnida, Ixodida, Ixodidae. The record is from RefSeq and is a predicted model, not a curated record.